GAUCAAUAAUUUUGUGACAGACUUAAAGAAUUUCAAUAAUUACUUUUUCGGGUAUAUUAUAAAUUGAAUUUCAUUUCGGCUGUUGAAAGUACUUCUGCAAUUAAAAGAUGGUUCCAAAUAAUUAAUUGAUCAUAUAUCUGGAUAAUGCAUUUAUUAUGAUAGGAGU
Molecule: long non-coding RNA, 166 nt
Organism: Lucilia sericata (common green bottle fly)
Lineage: Eukaryota; Metazoa; Arthropoda; Insecta; Diptera; Calliphoridae
Exons: 3
Source: RefSeq, a predicted model, not a curated record